GAUGAGAACGUAGUGAAAUGCGAUACGUAGUGUGAAUUGCAGAAUUCAGUGAAUCAUCGAAUCUUUGAACGCACAUUGCACCUCUCGGUAUUCCGGGAGGUAUGCCUGUUCGAGCGUCAUUUGUACCCUCAAGCUCUGCUUGGUGUUGGGUGUUUGUUCCGCCUCUGUGUGUGAACUCGCCUCAAAACAAUUGGCAGCCGGCGUACUUGUUUCGGAGCGCAGCACAUUUUGCGAUCCAGAUCAACGUACAGCGGCAUCCAAGAAGCCUUAUUUAACGCUCUUGACCUCGGAUCAGGUAGGGAUACCCGCUGAACUUAAGCAUAUCAAUAAGCGGAGGA
This 338-nucleotide unclassified non-coding RNA is filed under the name soil metagenome. Its description in RNAcentral is "partial contains 5.8S ribosomal RNA, internal transcribed spacer 2, and large subunit ribosomal RNA". The stretch from base 5 to 119 matches the Rfam family "5.8S ribosomal RNA", at positions 40 to 154 of the family's 154-position model. The record is from RNAcentral.